CGUAACGCCCAGAUACCUAUUAAAAGGCAUGCAGCUCGAUAGUGGUACCGGCCCAAGCUGUUAUCCAACUUUAUGACAUAAACGCCCACGGUACCUUUUUAAAGGUAUCUGACAGUAUCUGAUUUGAAAACGCCGUAACAUUUUAAAUUACGCGCCAAAUCUAAUUACUGUUUUUUAUCCGGCUACUGGAAAGUAUGUUUUUGUCUAUGGUUAAGCAAUAGUGCCAAUAGAAAAAUAAAAUAUAUGUAAUUUCCGGCGAAAAGUCUGGCCAUCUUGAUUGACUAGAGGACAUGGUAACCCAAUGAGAGAUGAGCAAAUAGAUGAAGCUUAAAUCAGUCAGAUAUAGAAAAGUAUGAACUAUUUGGAGAUGAGGAUUACAACAUAAACCAAAACCAAGAAAGCUCUUCCAGUUCUGAAGAAUCUGAAAAUAAUAGUUUUUUUAUUAAAAACCAACUCUUAUUUGCAAAAUUAAGUAUUUAAAACUUCUAUAGAAAUAUUAUAUCAAUUUACCUACUAUCAUUCUGAUUUUAAAAGGUAUAUGGGUUGCUAUUAUAUAGUGUUUUUGGAUCCAAUUUCGAAACUUGUUAAUUUUUGCUUCUGUCAUCUGUUGGAAGUGGAUUUCUUCUGAUAGAAAUCCUAAAACACGUGAUAAACUAGCCUUUAAAAAUAAUAAGUACAGAAAAUAAUGAUCAUAUUGUUCAAAAAUUGAUAUUUUUUUCUCAGAUUGUAAGUGUGAGAUAUGUUUUUGGUCAUUAAAAUUUUGGAAGACAUGUAUUAAUCCAAAUAUUUAUGUUCAUUGUUUUUUGUAAUAUAAAAUAAACCCUAUAUUGUCUACCGCUAAUCAAUAAUAUCAAAAAUAUGAAUUUUGCGAAAUCGGGUUUUGUAAUACAUUAAAGCCCAUAUGCCUAAAUAAAGAAUAACGAUUUUGGGGUUAUUUAGUGUCUCAAAACCUUCCACUGACAUACAUUUACAUGCAGAAAAAAUCCCACACUCAUACGGAAAUAAUAAGGCACUUUUUUUAGAUUUCAUCACCUCUGGGUCCGCACCAUGUGAACCUUUUAAAAGGUACUUGGGCUGCAACCCAAUGUUUGGUAAAAAUAGCCUGGGCGUUACGAGGUUAAAUUA
Molecule: long non-coding RNA, 1125 nt
Organism: Colias croceus (clouded yellow)
Lineage: Eukaryota; Metazoa; Arthropoda; Insecta; Lepidoptera; Pieridae
Exons: 2
Source: RefSeq, a predicted model, not a curated record